RNAcentral lists this long non-coding RNA (40780 nucleotides) under Triticum aestivum (bread wheat). RNAcentral's name for it is "long non-coding RNA (TAES_LNC016121)". Lineage: Eukaryota; Viridiplantae; Streptophyta; Magnoliopsida; Poales; Poaceae. The record is from RNAcentral.
ACCAAUAUAUGAUCACAAAUAUGGCUAGUAGUUAUAUAUAAGAAGAAAAGCACAGAACACAAAUAAUGGGACAGGGACAGAAAUGUUUAACACCACAGAAUUAUGUAUAUAUCACACAGGUAUUACAAACUGAGAAUUACUGUGGCAACUACAACACAUAGGGGGUAAACAUACACAUGCACAGGAGUGAACACACAUAUAUGCUGACAGAGCACUAACUACCAAAGCAACAAAAUAUUACAUAUCAGUUAGUUCCCAUAGCAACAAGACAUACACUAUUCUGAACAUAGAAUUUUACAGAUGAAAACUGAACAAUUGACAAGUUGCAAGCCCUUAUAGAAUCUGAAUAUUUCAAGUACUAAACAUCUCAAAUUACAUAAACUUCAGAGAGAACAACAGCAGUAGGAUGAGUGUGAAGGAGCAACAGAGACGCAAGAAAAGAAGCAGCAACAGAGACGUGGGAGAAGAAGCAGUAGAAAUAGCAGGUUCAGAGAAGGAACUGAAGGCAUUGGAGAAGGAGAUUAAGAGCAGCAGCAGUUCAGCAGGGGAUUCAGAGGAGGAGCAGCAACAAGGGGUGCAAGAAGAGAAGAAAGCACGAAGUUGAGGUUCAGAUUGUGAAGAAGAAGAGCAGCAGUAGUUUGAGGCAAGGGGAGAAGAUAGCAGCGGUAGGAGAAGAUAAGAGGAGCAGAGGCAGGGGCGUGGAGAAGGGAAGAGCAGCAGAGAGGGAGAGAGAUGGAUGGCGAUGGAGGAAGUGGUGGUGGCGCUGGAUGGUACAGGAAGUAGUGGCGCUGGAUGGUAGAGGAAGUGGUGGAGUUAAGGAGCGGGUGGAGGUGCUGGGCAGCGCUGGUUGGCGCACCGCCGCGCCGGCCUGUGGAGAUGGAUGGAUGGUUGGGUGGUGCACCACUACGCCGUCCUGUCCGCGGCGGCGGCCGGAGGUGGAGAAGGAGGUUGGGGGAGAGAGAUGUGUGCCAGGCCUGAAGGGGAUCGAAGGAGAUGGCUAGGGAUUUGACCCCUCUCGAUCAGAUCUGCCACUUUGCACUUUUGCCCUCCUUCUGUCUUCUUCCUUCCCAAGUAGAUCCCCUCUCUUCUAUAGUUAGCCCCUCUGGUUACUUCUUGUCUUCACACACAAGUCCAUUCUUCCUUCUCUUCUUUUCACUUGACUAAUUCUCUUAGCCACCUAGUCAGAUCUUGGAAGUUUAUAGUGCCUUUGCGCACUUUUCUGCAAAAGAAACAAAUGACGAGUAAAUGGUCUUUUAUAUGAUUUUCAUCCAAAUAUAUCACAGUUCAUAGUAAGAAUGGAUGAACAUAUAUCAACAAAUGGUGUAUAUAUGUGCCAAAAUUAUGUAUAUGAAAUGUGCUGACCAAGAGCUCUACGGUAUGACACACAAGGACACAUGGAAGGAGCUGUUCAAGGCCUCUAAAAUACCUCCUCCCUCAUCCGAGGACCACAGACUUCACGUCACGCGGCUCCCCCGUCCGGUGAGUUUUCUGACCAUCACCGGAUGUAAUUUUUCCCAGCGUACUCAUGGGAGGAUCUUAAAUCAUCGUGUGUAUUUCAUUAGGAGUAUGUGGUAACGGUGGAGCGGAUUGACUGUCCGGCUCCACUGCCAGAAGGUCCAGCAAAUGCUCUCCUGACGGAGAUGCUAGUUCCUGCGCCCUACAAGGCGCCGGAAAAGAAGGCCGAAAAGAAGGCCCCGGGGACCAGGAACGGUCUCCAGCGUAAGGUUGUACCGGACGCUUCAUACGAAGACGACGAGGCACACUCCUCCCCCAAAGGGGAGGAGGAAAAGGAAGGGGCCGCUCCACCCGAGGGGGCCGAAGGGCCUAAGAGGGCGACCCAGGGGACCAGGAAGGGUCGCCGGUGCAAGGCCUUCAUAAACUCGUCGUCUGAGGACGACGAGGCAGAUUCCUCCCGUGGAGGCGGGAGGAAACAUGAGGAAAAUCCGCCUCCCCGCACUGGGGAGGAGAAGAAAAGGAAAGCCACCCCAGCGGGGGAGGCCAGGACGCCCAAGAAGGGAUGUGUCCCUUCCGGAUUACUCCACCAUGGCCGCCUAUAGCAAGGAGGAGCGGCUGCCCAGGGGGAAGCCCCUAGUAAUAUCGUAAGUAUCUGCACUCUGUUGUACUUUAGCGCGAUUUCGCUUCAUAGUCUGUCAUAACGCCGAACAUGUAUAUGCAAUCCAGCCAGGGUUCAUCCCGAGGUAUCCUCUUCGGAUGGGUCCUUGAGGGAUUCGGUGAUGAACUCACUCCCAACAGCCACUUCCCCUCGGCCUGCGGAUGACACGGAGGUGUUGUCCCAAAGGCUCCCAUAGUAGGGGGGUCGCUUCUGGAGAUGCCCCAAGGCGAAAUUCCAGACGCCAGGCACCCGGGGCGUAAGAUCCCUACGGAUUGUGCCGACGAGAGCCGCAGCAAGCCGGGCUCCCAGCCGGACACUAUGUUGGAACCCCCAAAGGUUCCGAACUCGGGCAGGCAGCCCCUCGCCAAGGAGGGCGAGCCGUCCGUGCUGAUGACUUACGUUACACCAGGGGCGUCGGAUAGUCUGCUGGAAGCGCUUCACGACGCUUCCAUGGAUGAAGAGCACCGUACUCUUAUGAGUGCGGUGAUUCAGAAGGUUCGGUCCACCAAGAGCGAAUUAACCGAAGCCUGCACCAGCCUCCUGGUAGGCUUUGAGGUAAGUAAUCAAAAAUGUGUGAAAUUAUCACCCGAUAGGUAGUAGCCCUGACACUCCGUUUGGUGUUCGGAAAGAAAAGCCAAACGGAGGGUCAAUUAUAAUCUACAGGAGUUUAAUAGUAGGUGUUUAUGUGAAUAAGCAGGCAGUGCUGCUUGCCGCUGCUGCCCGAACGGCCGAGGUCGCUGGACUCAAACGGGACCUUAAGCAGGCCGAAGAGGAGCUCGGCCUUACAAAGGGGCAGUUCGAAGAGAACAAAGGUGAGUGGUACCCCGUUCACAUAUCAUAUAGAGGAGAGGAAAGAAAAUUGGUUAUGCUAACGAAAAGCAUCAUGAUUUUGUAACAGGGCCAUGACCGAAGUGGCGUCCCUGAAGAAAGCGCUAUCCGAGGCCGAAAACAAGGCGGCCAUGGAGCGCAUUGAGCGUGAAAAGCAAGAUGCUAGGGUGGGCGAGGUACAGCAAGAGCUCCAGGAGCUCGACAAGAAGUUCGAGUCCUUGGAGCGUAACUUCAAGAUGAAGGAGUCCAAACUUGCGAAGGCCCUGUUGAGCAUAAAAGACGCCAAGGCCGAAGCCGAAAAGGCCCAGCAGGAAAUCCAGGCGGCCAAGAAGAUAGCGGCGGGUAAGACAUUCUUUAUGCAAAGCAAGCAUGUGGAGGAGACGUUUCUUUUACUUACCAGAAUUCGGAGCUCUCUAGGGGCAUUCCCAGAUCUGCCACGCAGCAUAUCAGAUGCCGCGGAGUUCUACCGUGCCGAGGAGGGGAGCUCAACAGAGAAGCUGUUCUGGUCCCAGUAUGCUGGAGCCGAACACCCGGUGCCUCUGAGUGACCAAUUGAAGCAAUUGGUUGAACUCCACAGGGCGACCAAAGUGGCUAUGAAAGAUUUCAUUGUCUGCAUGUGGCCUGGUGAGCCCCUGCCCGCCAGCUACUUUGGCCUGAUAAAGCGGAUGGUAAAUGCCUGUCCGUGGCUUGAAGUUAUCAAGCGAUCCGUUUGCAUUGAGAGUGCCCGCGAGCCUUUGCCCGUACAAAGGUUCAUUGGGGCAAGCUGGAUGCGGAGAAGCUGGUGAAGGACGGCCCGCCGGAGGGCAAGGCGCAUCGUUGUCCCGAAAAAUAUUAUGAUGUCGUUAUGAAAGGUGCUCGUCUCGUGGCCGAUGAAUGUACCAAGGAAACGAUCUUUGAGUGAAUGUACUUCUGUCGUUGUUGUAAUACAAAGACGAAGUUACUUGCGCUAUAUAGCGCUUUUUUUGAUUUAAAAUAUUACCUUUUGUGCGGCUGUUUAUAAAAUUCUGAAAGUAGGCCUGUCGUCGGCUUCCGCCCCCGCAUAACUAGUACUAGGGUGUUCGUGGAAAAAACCCAGACACUCUUUAUCCAAAUUUUUGGUCCCUGAAGGAGGUGUUUGGCGCAGCGAACAAGGCAAUCAGACUAUGCGGCUUUAUAACUUUCACUUAGCCAUAGAAGUCUAUAAUUUUAAAUUUCGGCGAAGCCCCUAGAAUUCGGAAAGCCGAAUUGGGGCGCUAUAUACGCCUAAAUCGGACGAGGCCGAUUCCUCGCCUAAAGCGGAAAAAAUCUUUAAGGAUUUUAUGACCUCUCGAACAAUGACCAUCUCUCGCCGCAUCGUGCCGGUUAGUUUUCGGCUUUCUCUACUGAGGUGCUCGUCCGGAAGAACUAGGACACAAUCGUAGUAGUUCUCCCUGUGCUACCUUAGUCGAUAGAACGGAACGUAAGGUACCAAAACAAGGGAGCCGGGAAAACCGAACUAUUGACCCAAGAUAUGAUCCGGAGCUGAUGCAUAUAAUGCUAUAAGUUCGGGGUGCCGCACUGUUGAAAGUGUUUGGACUUAUCUUGCCGUAUUAUGGGGCGCCAUAAGAAGCCCCUGGCAAACUCAACGUACCAAGGACCAAUGUAGCUGAACCGCCGUGACGGAUGCUGGUAGGGUGAUCCCUGCGAUCAAAGGAGAUUGGACAGGCUGACCAUGCGUUGAAUUUUGGGGUGACUGGCUCCAUCGCAUAUACGUCCCGUAGUCCUCGCUUCCGUUCCCGUUUGAGAAUGUGGAUGGCGUAGAUCAUGUUGACUGUUUUCACCUGGGGAGGAAAUUUCUUCUGUCCCCCCGUGUUCGGACGCUGGGGCUCCUCGUCAUCGUCACUGUGCAGCCCCUUGUCCUUGUUUUCGGCGUUUAUUUUACCGGCGUGUUUGAACACCCAUCAGCCUCUAUUAGUGUGGUUUGCUGGCUUAUCCGGGGUGCCAUGAAUUUGGCACGAGCGGUCAAGUAUGCGGUCCAGACUGGACGACCCCUGAUUGUUUCUUUUGAACGACUUUUUCCGCUGACCGGAUUUCGAGCCACUGAAUCCGGCGUUGACUGUCGUGUCUUCAGUGUUGUUGUUGUUAUUCCGUCGCUUAUGUAUGUUGCGCCGUGUCUUGCCGUUAUUGUCGCGGACAUCUGAGGUGCCAGAAUUUAUUGGCGUGGUGCUACUACGAGCCAACCAGCUGUCCCCGCCCGCGCAAAAGCGGGUCAUGAGUGUCGUGAGGGCCGCCAUGGACUUUGGUUUUUCCUGGCCGAGGUGUCGAGCGAGCCACUCGUCAUGGAUAUUAUGCUUAAAGGCCGCCAGGGCUUCGGCGUCCGGACAGUCGACUAUUUGGUUCUUUUUGGUUAGGAACCGAGUCCAAAAUUUCCUGGCUGGCUCUCCGGGCUGUUGGGUAAUUUGGCUGAAGUCAUCGGCAUCCGGUGGUCGCACGUACGUGCCCUGGAAGUUGUCGGGGAACGCGUCCUCCAGGUUUUCCCAACUCCCAAUGGAAUUUGCUGGCAGGCUGUUUAGCCAGUGCCGGGCCGGUCCUUUGAGGUUAAGGGGAAGAUACUUGAUGGCGUGUAGAUCGUCUCCGCGGGCCAUGUGAAUGUGGAGAAGGAAAUCUUCGAUCCAUACUGCGGGGUCUGUUGUGCCAUCGUAUGAUUCUAUGUUUACGGGUUUAAACCUUUCUGGGAAUUCAUGAUCCAUCACUUCGUUAGUGAAGCAGAGGGGGUGUGUGGCGCCUCUAUGCCGGGCUAUGUGGCGACGCAGAUCGAAUGAGUCUGGUUGGCUGUUGUAGGACCUUGAAGUAUGUCUAGAGGGGGGGGGUGAUUAGACUACUUGACCAAUAAAAACUUAACCUUUUCCCAAUUUUAGAGUUUGGCAGAUUUUAGCUAUUUUAGGACAAGUCAAGCAAUCAUCAUACAAUUCAAGCAAGCAUGCAUAGAGUGUAUAGGCAGUGGAGAUUAAAGCAUGCAACUUGCAAGAAAGUAAAGGGAAGGGUUUGGAGGAUUCAAAUGCCUCACUAGCGGUAGAUCUUCACGAAGUAGGUGAUCUCCUUGCCCUUACAAACUCCUUGGUUCAACUCCACAAUCUUGUCGGAGGCUCCCAAGUGACACCUAGCCAAUCUAGGAGACACCACUCUCCAAGAAAUAACAAAUGGUGCAUCAAUGAUGAACUCCUUGCUCUUGUGCUUCAAAUGAUAGUCUCCCCAACACUCAACUCUCUCUCAUAGGAUUUGGAUCUAGUGGAAAGAAGGUUUGAGUGGAAAACUUGGGGAAGGCUAGAGAUUAAGAUUCAUAUGGUAGGAAUGGAAUAUCUUGGCCUCAACACAUGAGUAGGUGGUUCUCUCUCAGAAAUGGUAAGUUGGAAGUGUAGGUUUAGUCUGAUGGCUCUCUCCACGAAUGAAGAGGAGGCGGAGGGGUAUAUAUAUAUAGCCUCCACACAAAAUCUAACCGUUACACACAAUUUACCAAACUCGGUGGGACCGAAUCGUUAAACUCGGUCGGACCGAUUUAGUAAACCUAGUGACCGUUAGUGAUUUUGGGUGGGACUGACAUGCAUCUCGGUGAGACCGAUUCGGUUAGGGUUAGGGCAUAACUUAAUCUCUGUAGGACCGAUUACACAAACUCGGUGAGACCGAUUUGGUAAUAAGCUUUCCAGAGAGUUGGUCAGGUAAACUCGAUGGGACCAAUUUGCUCUUUUCGGUGAAACCGGAAUGUUACAAAAAGGUAACAGAGAGUUUACAUUGCAAUCUCGGUGGGACCGAUCGCUCACUUCGGUUCGACCAAAACGUUAUGAAGGGAAAUAGAGAGAUUACAAUCCCAUCUCGGUGAGAUCGAGAUCCCUAUCGGUAAGACCGAUUUGCUUAGGGUUUGUGGCAGUGCCUAUGACUUUUAGAAUCGGUGGCGCCGGAUUGGAAGAAUCGGUGUGACCGAUUUUGGCUUUGGGUUUAGGUCAUUUGUGGAUGUGCGAAAGUAGUUUAGGGUUUUGGAGCAUAUCACUAAGCACAUGAAGCAAGAGGCUAAUUAAGCAACACCUCAUCCCUUCUUGAUAGUAUUGGCUUUUCCUGUAGACUCAAUGUGAUCUUGGAUCACUAAAAUGUAAAAUGAAGAGUCUUGAGCUUUUGAGCUUGAGCCAAUUCUUUGUCCUUAGUAUUUUGAGGGAUCCACUUUCAUCAUCCAUGCCAUGCCAUUCAUUGAGCUUUCCUGAAACAAUAGUCUUGGAAUAACAUUAGCUCAAUGAGCUAUAUGUUGUUAUGAAUUACCAAAACCACCUAGGGAUAGUUGCACUUUCAAUUUCCCCCUUUUUGGUAAUUGAUGACAACAUAUAGAUCAAAGCUUCGACAAAUGAUAAUAACAUUUAAAUAACAUCGUCGCUUUGAGAAGUAUGUGAUAAGCAAGAGCUCCCCCUAAAUUUGUGCAUAGUUUUAGAUUUGCUUUGGACUACAAAUGCACAAUGAAUUAGGCUCAUGGGUUACUCUUCCAUGUCACAUACAUCUUGGUGGAGCGCUCAAAAUAAUAGACAAUGAAUACAUGCACUCAUUACCAAGCAUAGUGAGUGAUCACAUAAGAUAUAUAGGAUAAUAUCAUCAAACAUGCAUAAGUGUAGCUUAUGAUCAAACACAUGAUCAUCAAUGUCUCACAAGCAUAGUAUCUCAACCAAAAGCAAACAAAGAAUGAAAAACCACCAAAUAAAGCAAGAGAGAACAAAAGCAACACUCUCUCUCUCUCUCGAAGCCUAUGAUCUAUACAUUUUUCUCCCCCUUUGGCAACAAGUUACCAAAAAGUUCAUAGAAAAUGCAUAGUGCUAGAUCGACUCUUGGGCUUGAUCUUCUGGUGGUGGUGUCCUGAUGACUCCAAGGACGAAGGCUCCAGUUGAUGUAGAGGGUGCUGGAGUUGAUGCUAAAGCUGGUUGCACUAGAUCUGAAGGGGCAAUAGCUGGUGCUGAAGUUGUUGCUCUAGUGUCUGCCACUGGCACUGCAACUAACCUCUGGGCUCUGGUCACUCUGGCAAACACAUUGGUGGUAGUCUUACCCUUCCUCUCCUGCAUGUCAUCCUACAGCUGCUCCACAACUGACUGAAUCUCAGUUACCUUGACAUCUAGAUCAAAGAAUUUUUGUUCCAUGAUUCUUUCCAGGUUCUCCUGGUUUUGAGUUAGGGCGGCCAACCCCUUCUCAAUCCUCAGAGAUGAUGCUAUCAAGUAACCAAGCUGCUCCUGUUUGGUUUUCAAGAAAUAUUCAGAUGCCUCCUCUUGAGUUGGCAUCUUGGCAGCCUUCUCCCUCUUUGCCUUCUCCUUCUUCUCCUGAGCUUGAACUGAUGAUGGAUCAUCCUCAUUCAUGACAACCUCAUUGUCCUCAAAGUCUGGAUAAACUGGAAAGUGUUCCUUAUCCAACUGAUAUUUUCCUGUGCCCAUCUUUGAGUUUAUCAAUUCUUGAAUCUGAGGUGUAUAUCCAUAGCUCCUCUUCUGAUCUGCUGCAGUCCUCUUGAUUGUUUCAACUAUAAGGCUCAUGACUUUGAAUUUUUGUGGAACAUCAAAUAAAUGCAACAUAUUGAUGGCAUGCCCUUUGAUCAUGUUAUGGUCACCUGACUUGGGCAAUAAAGUGUGCCUCAGAAUCCAAUUUAUGGUAGCUAGCCCUGACAGCAGAAAGUGGACUGAUCCAAAAGUGAAAGUCUCUAGGGCUUUGUCUGGGAUCUCCUUGUACAUGUGUGCCAUGGUAUUAUGUCCCAUUUUCUUCUUGGCAUAUACAUCCAGAUCAUCAUCAUUUUCCUUUGGGGCAUUUAUCAGACUUGCCCAUUCUUCUACAGUGGACUGGUACCUUGUACCUUCAGACAUCCAAACUAUUCUACCAUCUGGGUAAAAAUGUGCUGUGGAGUAGAAUUGCAUGAUAAGUUCAUCAUUCCAAUUUUUGAGAUUUUGCCCAACAAAAUCUGCAACUCCACAAGCAACAAAGCUGUCUUUCACUCCAGGUUAGUGCUCUUCAUUCUCCUUGAUGUAUUUCCAGUCAACCCACCUCAUGUCACAGACUAUGGGUUUCUUGUCCAACAGAAUUGUUUCAUAGAAGUCCUGCUGUCCUUUGUAUGGAACCUGUAAUCAACAGCAGUUCUUCUCCUUGUGGCAUAUGGGUCUGCCAUCCUCCACAAUCUCAGCCCUGAAUCCUUCCUGAUUCUCAUGUCCUCAGCCACAGGAUGGGCAUCAUUGUGGUCUGGUAUCUUUGGCUUGAGCUUCCUUAGAACCUGUCCUUCUUCAUCUUCCUCCUCAGCAACCUCAGGCACUGGGGCCUUGUUCUUCUCAGCAGCUGGAAUACUCCUGGUAUUCCUCUUUGGUGCAGACUUGGCCUUGGGGGCAGCUUUGGGUGCUUCCUUGGGCUUAGAUGUUGCAGCCCCAGAUCUGAUUGCAUCACCCAUAAGCUUUGGUGCCGUUGGUGCUGGUGCAGAAAGCUCUUCCUCUUCCAUCAUUGAAGGUUGCCCUACAACUCUGGCUAUGGUCUUCUUGACCCUUUCCUUCCUCUUCUUGCUUUCAUUAGCUGGCUUUUUGGGAUCAGGAUUUUCAGGCAGUUGAGUUGAUGCCUGGCCUUGGGCAUAGGUUGCCUUCUUGCAGGCCUUUUAAUCUUCAUGCCUGGCUUUAUGUCCUUUGCUGAGCCAUAUUCCUUCUUGAGCACCACUUUCUUGGAAGUAGCCUCAUCUUCCUCAGCUUUGUAAUCUUCAUCCUCUGAAUCUGAAGUUCUUUUCCUCCUUUGCCUAGUUGCAGCCUUAGGCAAAUUGCUAGGAGUACUUCUGCUCCCUUCAUCUGAAGUACUGGAGGGACUAGUGCCCUCACUCAAGUUCAUCUGCUCUUCUGCCCUGUUCUGGCUGUCACUUUGAGCAGACAUUCUGCACAAGCUGACUGCUGACCCUGUGAAGAGUUAUAGAUGAGAUAGAAAACAUGAGCAUCACAAAAUGCAGAGUUUUUUGCAAAAGAAUGACUCAAAAGUUCACUUUUAGUUUUCCACAGAAAGCAUUUCGGAUCCACCGAUUUUUAAACUCGGUGAUACCGAAGCAGUUUUGGAACCUAAACUGAUGAUCUCGGUUGGACCGAGUUUCAGUUCGGUGGUACCGAGACUGCUAGGGUUUCACAGAAUUCUCAAAUUGGUUGCACCGAUUAGUAAUUCUCGGUCAGACCGAGAGUCACUAGUGCAAUGGCAUAAGCCAAAUCGGUGAGACCGAGUUUUUCAACUUGGUGGGUCCGAGAUGGUUUCGGCGGAAACCUAAACCUAAAAAUUUGAAUCACGUCUAAUCUAUGAACUACUUUGGCUGGAUAGAAGAGUUUCAAUCGUGGCAAGAAUCAAUAUGAAAACAAUGUGCCAGGAAUCAGACGUGGAUAGCACAAAGAUUAAGUCCAUACCCUAACUUGGCGGUGGACUUGCUACGGCGACAAUGGCGGGGACGAAAUCCGUUGACGGUGGAGGAGACCAGCGACAGGAGGCUGCUGGCGACGAGGAGACGAUUCGGAGACCACGAUGGCAGAGCGAGCUGUUGCGCGGGCGAAGGGUUUCGGAGAAAUUUCCAAAAUUUUGCCCGUGUCUAUAUAUAGCCCGACCCUGUCGGUGUGACCGAGUGGAACAACUCGGUGGCACCGAGAUGCAUAAUGUGUUCAGUUACAGCAAAUUGGUGAGACCAAAAAUUUCAAAUCGGUUGCACCGAGAUUGAAAACUCAGAUCAACUUGAUGAUCUCGGUAGGACCAAAAUGGAAGGAUCGGUCAGACCGAGAAUCACAAAGAGGUUUUGGAAGUUUAAGUCCAUGACGAAUUGGGGACUCCGAGUGCUCCUCACACAGAGUGGUUUGAAUCUGACUUGAUCAAAUUUUGUGAUGUAGCAUGAAUAGAGUUUGAGACGAGAAAAGCAUAGAUAGCUAAAUAAGGUUCUUAAGCAUUCUUGUCCAUCCACUUUGCACAAAGAAAAGAAUCCAAACAAACAAAACAACAAGUGGAUGUCCUUGAAUGAGUAAAAUAUGCACCAACAUGCUCACACAAUAAGAUGACAAUUGAAAUAUGUGGCAAAGCAUGCACAACCAAUUCUAGCAUCUAUCAAACAGUUGGCGAUGACUAGGUCAUCUAUAUAUGAGUAUAUUGACUUAGGAGUCAAAUGAGAACAUUUGAUCAUAGGUCAUACUCAUCGUUUAAGCUCAAGUGGGGUUACCACUUUUACAUAAUGCAUUUAUGUGUUCACACCAUUAGAGUUGCUUUGACUCAAUUCUUAGAGUUAAGCUCCCCCUAGAUUUGAGAUCCCCCCUUAGAGGGAUUAACUAACCUUGGGUUUUGUCGAUGAUGACUUCAUGUAGGUGUUGAAGAUGUAGAUGCUCAAUGUUGAUGUAAAUCCUUUGGAGUGAGUUGCACUUUCAACUUGCCUACAUGGGUUAGUCCCACAAGGAACAAACAAGAAUAUCCAUAGACAUAGAGUGAUGCACACACAAGACGAUGUCCAUGAAAACAUUAGGUUACGUUGUCCCUUGCCUUACCAACAUGAGGGUUUGUGACUCCUUGAACUAGUGCAAGAUGUGAAAGUUGAUUGCACUUGUUCUUGCCAAAAUGAUAUGAGUGAAGAAUGUUGGCGGAGUCACCCUCAAGAACUCUCUAGUUCUUCUUCUUUGGGAUCCACAUCAUCUUGAUGGGAAUCCUUGGAGUUGUAGUUGUACUUGAUCAAGUAGAACUUGACGUAGUCUUGGGAACCUACUUGACCAAGGCCUUGGGUGCUUCUUCAAAUGCAUCAAUCUCUUCUUGAAGCUUGUCCUUGCCUUUGUUCUUGUGGUCUUGUGGUGGAAGAUCAUCUUGAGCUUGUGUCCCUUUGAAGGAAGUAGGAUCAUACUUCUCUUGUUGAGGAACAAACUUUUGAUCUUCUUCUCACUCAACUCCAUUGGCGUUGAACUUUCGUUCAAAACCAACACCUUGAUUCUUCCGGUUCCUUCCUUGCUUGCGUACAAUUUCCUCGAAUUGCUUACUCCCGACAAGGCUCUUGUAAACACUUUUAUCUAUAAUUCCCUUCAAUAAACUAUUUUCCUGCUCAAGUGUAACUUGGCUAAGAGAAUCAUUAGUGGAAUCAAGAGAACUACUAGAAGCAACAAUAUUGGAUUUGACAUUAUUAUUGUUACUACUAGAGGAAGUAUCUUUCUUGUACUUGUUACUAGACUUGACUUGAGGCAUGUAAGUAGAUAAGAGUAAAUGCUUGGCAAUGUAAGAAGAACUUUUCUUGCGGAGAUCAUCAUUGAUUGCCUUUAAGAACUCAUGCUCUUGCUCAAGAUUGAGCUUUUCAAAGCGUAACUUCUCAUGAGCCCUUAAAAGUUCUCGAUGAUCUUCAAUGAUAGUUUCAUGAGCCAACUUAAGAGUGUUUAGUUCUUUAGUUAGAAGCUCAAUUUUAACCUUAUCAUUGUCAUUCGUUUGAUUAGCAUGAUUAAUUGACGUUUCAUUAUAGUAUUCAUCACUAGAGUUGCCAAUAAGUAAAUCAUCAUCCACAAGCAAGUCAUCUUCAUCACUAUUGAAAUCAACAUACUCGGGAUGUGUUACCUUUGGACCUUUGGCCAUGAAGCAUCUUCCAACACCUUCAUUUGGUGAAUCAAAUAUGUCGUAGGAGUUGGUUGACACAAGUGCUAGACCGGCAACACCUUCAUCUUGAGUAUAUUCGGAGUCGGAGUGAUAGCUUCUCUCGGAGUGUUUGUCGGAGUCGGAGCCGGAAACCCAUUCACAAACAUGAGCUUGAUGUCUUCGUUUUGUGUAGCUCCUUGAUGACUUUUCCUUUCUUUCCGAAUCCUUGCUUCUCCGUGAGGGUCUUCGUUCAUAACGAUCAUCUCUACUCCUCCUCUCUCUUGGUGGUGAUUCUUCUCUUUUGCUCCUUCUUCUUGGAGAAUCUUCUCUUCUUUUGUAGGGUGACGUACACUCAUUGGAGUAGUGUCCAGGCUUCCCACAAUUGUAGCAAUUGCACUCUCGACUAGAAGAUCUCUUGUCAUGAUAAGACCUUGACUUGGAGCUUCUUUCUUUGCUUCUAAUCUUGUAGAAUUUGUUGAAGUUCUUCACCAUUAAGCUUAAUUCUUCAUUGAAGGUUUGUUUCUCACUUGAUGAUGUGGGGGCUUCACUUGAGGCUUUGUAAGCACCACUUGACUUGUUGUGAAGUUCCUCCUUAUCCUUGAGUGACAUCUCAUGAGCAACAAUUCUUCCAAUGACUUCCGUUGGCUUGAGAUCUUUGUAGUUUGGCAUCAUUUGGAUCAAUGUGCACACGGUAUCAUACUUUCCAUCCAAUGCUCUUAGGAUUUUCUUGCUGAUGAAUUUGUCGGUCAUCUCUUCACUCCCUAAGCCGGCAAUCUCAUUUGUGAUAAGAGCAAGCCAAGAGUACAUUUCAGCGACACCUUCAACAUCCUUCAUUUUGAACUUGUCAAGCUGACUUUGGAGCACAUCCAACUUGGAUUCCUUGACAGAUUCGGUACCUUCGUGCAUAUCAAUCAAUGUAUCCCAAAUUUCCUUUGCAUUCUCAAGACGGCUGAUCUUGUUGAAUUCUUUGAGGCACAAUCCGUUGAAGAUGAUGUCACAUGCUUGAGCGUUGUAUUGCAGCAUCUUCAAUUCUUCCGCAUUAGCUUCACGGUUCGGUUCUCUCCCAUCAAAGAAUUCACCUUGCAAGCCAAUACAAAUAAUUGCCCAAACAGCGGGGUUAUGUCCAAGAAUAUGCAUUUUCAUCUUAUGCUUCCAACUAGCAAAAUAAGUACCAUCAAAGUAAGGACCUCUACGGUGAUAAUUUCCCUCGCUAGACGCCAUACUCUCCUAGGUUGUGAAACCAAGGCUAUGACCACCAAAAGCUAUGGAAAUCAAAGCAAAUGGAGACCAAGGCUCUGAUACCACUUGUAGGACCUUGAAGUAUGUCUAGAGGGGGGGUGAUUAGACUACUUGACCAAUAAAAACUUAACCUUUUCCCAAUUUUAGAGUUUGGCAGAUUUUAGCUAUUUUAGGACAAGUCAAGCAAUCAUCAUACAAUUCAAGCAAGCAUGCAAAGAGUGUAUAGUCAGUGGAAAUUAAAGCAUGCAACUUGCAAGAAAGUAAAGGGAAGGGUUCGGAGGAUUCAAACACAAUUGGAGACACGGAUGUUUUUGGCGUGGUUCCGAUAGGUGGUGCUAUCAUACAUCCACGUUGAUGGAGACUUCAACCCACGAAGGGUAACGGCUGCGCGAGUCCAUGGAGGGCUCCACCCACGAAGGGUCCAUGAAGAAGCAACCUUGUCUAUCCCACCAUGGUUGUCGCCCACGAAGGACUUGCCUCACUAGCGGUAGAUCUUCACGAAGUAGGCGAUCUCCUUGCCCUUACAAACUCCUUGGUUCAACUCCACAAUGUUGUCGGAGGCUCCCAAGUGACACCUAGCCAAUCUAGGAGACACCACUCUCCAAGAAGUAACAAAUGGUACAUUGAUGAUGAACUCCUUGCUCUUGUGCUUCAAAUGAUAGUCUUCCCAACACUCAACUCUCUCUCAUAGGAUUUGUAUCUGGUGGAAAGAAGGUCUGAGUGGUAAUCAACUUGGGGAAGGCUAGAGAUCAAGAUUCAUAUGGUAGGAAUGGAAUAUCUUGGCCUCAACACAUGAGUAGGUGGUUCUCUCUAAGAAAUGGUAAGUUGGAAGUGUAGGUUUAGUCUGAUGGCUCUCUCCACGAAUGAAGAGGAGGUGGAGGGGUAUAUAUAUAUAGCCUCCACACAAAAUCUAACCGUUACACACAAUUUACCAAACUCGGUGGGACCGAAUCGUUAAACUCGGUUGGACCAAUUUAGUAAACCUAGUGACCGUUAGCGAUUUUCGGGGGGACUGACAUGCAUCUCGGUGAGACCGAUUCAGUUAGGGUUAGGGUAUAACGUAAUCUCGGUAGGACCGAUUACACAAACUCGGUGAGACCGAUUUGGUAAUAAGCUUUCCAGAGAGUUGGUCAGGUAAACUCGGUGGGACCGAUUUGCUCUUUUCGGUGAGACCGAAAUGUUACAAAAAGGUAACAGAGAGUUUACAUUGCAAUCUCAGUGGGACCGAUCGCCCACUUCGGUUAGACCGAAACGUUACGAAGUGAAACAGAGAUAUUACAAUCCCAUCUCGGUGGGACCGAGAUCCCUAUCGGUAAGACAGAUUUGCUUAGGGUUUGUGGCAGUGGCUAUGACUUUUAGAAUCGGUGGCGCCGGAUUGGAAGAAUCGGUGUGGCCGAUUUUGCCUUUGGGUUUAGGUCAUUUGUGGAUGUGGGAAAGUAGUUGAGGGUUUUGGAGCAUAUCAAUAAGCACAUGAAGCAAGAGGCUCAUUAAGCAACACCUCAUCCCUUCUUGAUAGUAUUGGCUUUUCCUAUAGACUCAAUGUGAUCUUGGAUCACUAAAAUGUAAAAUGAAGAGUCUUGAGCUUUUGAGCUUGAGCCAAUCCUUUGUCCUUAGUAUUUUUAGGGAUCCACUUUCAUCAUCCAUGCCAUGCCAUUCAUUGAGCUUUCCUGAAACAAUAGUCUUGGAAUAGCAUUAGCUCAAUGAGCUAUAUGUUGUUAUGAAUUACCAAAACCACCUAGGGAUAGUUGCACUUUCAGCUGUAUUCGGCCCGGCCGGACUUGUUGAUAGUGUAUCCGGUGUGACGUUCAUUGUCACGUGUUGGGGCAGGCCCCCGCGAUCCGUAGAUCGAUCUUGGUUGUCCUGCCUUCUUUUCCAGUAUAUCUUGCAGGUCCUACCUAUUGCCCUGGGCCGUAGUGUAUUGGCGUAGGGGUGCGGGCUGGUAUUCGGGCUGAUACGUCGUUUGAUCCCGGCCACGAGGUGGCCGGUCAGCCAUGUGGCGCUCAAGUCCAUAUUCCUCAGCUGCCAGGACUUCAGUCCAUCUGUCUGUGAGCAGGUCUUGAUCAGCUUGGAGCUGCUGCUGCUUCUUUUUCAGGCUCCUCGCAGUGGCCAUAAGCCGGCGCUUGAAGCGCUCCUGCUCCUCGGGGUCCUCAGGCAGGCCGAACUCGUCGUCGCCGAGGCUAAUCUCAUCUUCGGAGGGGGGCAUGUAGUUGUCCUCCUCCGGAUAUCCGUCCGUGCCUGCUCGUCUGGGCUGACCUGCCCGUCUUCCUGUUCGUCCUGCUUGGAGGCAGGCUGAUCGGGGUUGUAUUCAUCUUCGGCACCAUCCGGAUUGUUUUCGUCUGCUGUGCCGGUAUUGCUGUGGCGGGGCUUGGAGCGGCGCCGACGACACCCAUGCUUUGCUUUCUUCCUUGAGGGGUUAUCCUCCGUUGCCUCACCACCAUUGGUUUCUUUCGGAGUGUCCACCAUAUAUAUAUCAUAUGAGGAGGUUGCUGUCCACCGCCCCGUGGGCGGUGGUUCCUGUUCUUCUCCUACAUCGUUGUCCAUACCGUCGAUGUCUUCGGAGUCGAAGUCAAGCACGUUGGUUAAAUCAUCGACCGUGGCAAUGAAGUGGGUGGUGGGUGGGCAAUGAAUUCCUUCGUCGCCUGCUUCCCACUCGAGCCGGACAUAGUACGGCUAAGAGUCCCCUGACAAAGAGAGAGACUUUAACGAGUUCAGCAUGUCGCCAAAGGGCGAGUGCUGGAAUAUAUCCGCAACGGUGAACUCCAUUACCGAAGCCCAACCAGAUUCGACGGGCUCGGGGGUGCGAGGACUGGAACUUACAACCGGAUACGAGUCCGGGGGUCCGGUGUCAUAGGCUUCCUUGGGGGUGAAGUCCGUGUUCGGCUCUACCGAUGAUGAGUGUGCGGCCUCCGGGGCGGGGUCCAUCCACCCGUCCUCGGGCGACGCAAUCUCCCCCGAUUUAGGUCCGGGGCUCCUACAGGGGUGAUAUCCCGAGCAUUAUCCGACAGCAGGUCGAAGCCGUGCUCAUCAUGACUGUCCGGCGCUCCUAGCAUAGGCCCGAAUCCGUUGAAGAUCAAGUCUCCACGGAUAUCGGCCGUGUAGUUCAAGUUUCCGAACCUGACCUGAUGGCCAGGGGCAUAGCUGUCGAUCUUCUCCAGAUGGCCAAGCGAAUUGGCCCACAGUGCGAAGCCGCCGAACACGAAGAUCUGUCCGGGGAGAAAAGUCUCACCCUGGACCAUGUUGUUGUUGACGAUUGAAGGAGCCAUCAAGCCUUGCAGCGACGACACAGAGGAACUCUCAAUGAAAGCACCAAUGUCGGUGUCAAAACUGGCGGAUCUCGGGUAGGGGGUCCCGAUCUGUGCGUCUAAGGCUAGUGGUAAUAGGAGGCAGGCACACGAUGUUUUACCCAGGUUUGGGCCCUCUUGAUGGAGGUAAAACCCUACUUCCUCCUUGAUUGAUAUUGAUGAUAUGGGUAUUACAAGAGUUGAUCUACCACGAGAUCGUAGAGGCUAAACCCUAGAAGCUAGCCUAUGAUGAUUAUGAUUCUGUCCCUAAGGACUAAACCCUCCGGUUUAUAUAGACACCGGAGAGGGCUAGGGUUUACACAGAGUCGGUUACAAAGAAGGAAAUACAAUAUUCAGAUCGCCAAGCUUGUCUUGCACGCAAAGGAGAGUCCCAUCCAGACACGGGAUGAAGUCUUGAGUCUUGUAUCUUCACGGUCCAACAGUCCUGCCAAAGUAUAUAGUCCGGCUGUCCGGAUACCCCCUAAUCUAGGACUCCCUCACCCAUAUUAAUAAAAGCCCCACGAUAAGGGGAACAUGAUCUCUGCUUCUACGAGACGUGCCCGAGAAACCGCCUCGCAAUGUGUGCGAUGGUUGGUUGUGGAGAGACGGUUCAAUAAUGACUCGACCGUAGUGUUAUGUCAUGUUAUCUAAAGAUGUCAGCAGGUUAUAUUUGUGGGAUAUCAUUCUCCCGAUGACGGCAUGUGAAGAUAGUCUUGCAGAUCCGGACACAAUUUAAGUGUUCGGUAAUUACUUUGGAGUAUUCGGAGAUGGAACCCGCCUUGCAAUGCCGAAGACAAAUCUACGUGCCGGACUCAUCGUCAUUGAAGCUUGGUUCAGGGGCUACUGAGGGAGUCUUGGAUUAGGGGGUAUCCGGACAGCCGGACUAUAUACUUUGGCCGGACUGUUGGACCGUGAAGAUACAAGACUCAAGACUUUGUCCCGUGUCCGGAUGGGACUCUCCUUUGCGUGGAAGACAAGCUUGGCGAUCCGGAUAAUAAAUUUCCUUCUUUGUAACCGACUAUGUCUAAACCCUAGCCCCCUCCGGUGUCUAUAUAAGCCGGAGGGUUUAGUCCUUAGAGACACAAUCAUAAUCAUCAUAGGCUAGCUUCUAGGGUUUAGCCUCUAUGAUCUCAUGGUAGAUCAGCUCUUGUAAUACUCAUAUCAUCAAGAUCAAUCAAGCAGGAAGUAGGGUUUUACCUCCAUCGAGAGGGCCCGAACGUGGGUAAAACAUCAUGUCCCUUGCCUCCUGUUACCAUUAGCCUUAGACGCACAGAUCGGGACCCCCUACUCGAGAUCCGCCGGUUUUAACACCAACAGAGCCCACCACGGCAUCACAACGAGAAGCUUUACAGACUACCUUUCGUCAUGAUAAUAUGUACCACUUGUCCCCCUUCAAAAUUGGCCAAUGUUGGAUGCCUUCCCACCUUCAAUUGGAGGAAGAGGACCACAGAGAUAGAUCCAGGAUCCAACCCAACCCAAACCCUCACUAGGUCACAUCCACACAAGAACAUACCUCCUGAGGUUGUUCUUCCCCUUGUACUAGUUCACCCUCAGCCCCCGACGAGGCUAAUCCACCACAAAUAAGGAGUAGGGUUUUACACCGCAAGGUGGCCCGAACCUGGGUAAACUGUUGUAUCUCUUUCGUUUCCUGUUCAUCGAGCUAGGCCGUGAGAGCAUCGAGUUGGUUGGAUGGAGAGGUUGAGUUCUUCGCACACGCCCACAGUUCGAACCUUUCUUGGGUCAGCGCAGCCCUGAAUCCGACAACUAUGAUUGAUCCCCUAUACUUGUGGGUCAUCACCCACCCUCGUAGGGCACGCCCCUAGGGCUUGUAGGCCCCUCGGGUGUCCCCUUGACUUGUUUCCAAUGCCAAACGCUCUUAUAUAUACAGAAACCUCAAAAACGAACCCUAGAUUGAAAGUUUCGCUGCCGCAAGUCUCUGUAGCCACGAAAAAUUAAUCUAGGCCCACUCCGAUACCCUGCCGGAGGAGGCCAUCAUCACCGGAGGCCAUGGAGGAGGAAGCCAGAGGGGGCCAUCAUCACCAUGGAGGUCAAGGACUAUAGGGAGAACCUCUCCCCAUCUAGGGGGGCAUGGAGGAGGAAUCAAAAGGGGAGACUCUCUCCCCCUCUCUCUCUCAGUGGCAUCGGAAUGCCGCCGGAGGAACCAUCACCGCGGUGAUCGUCUUCAUCAACAUCACCCUCUUCAUCACCUUCCUCAUCUCUUUUAAGCGGUCCUCUCUCCUGCACCCCACUGCAAUUCCCUACUUGAACAUGCUGCUUUAUGCCACAUAUUAUGAUCCAAUGAUAUGUUGCCAUCCUAUGAUGUUUUGAGUAGAUUUCUUUUGUCCUUUGGGUUGAUUGAUGAUCUGGAUUGGUUUGAGUUGUAUGUUUUAUUUUGGUGUUGUCCUAUGGUGUCUUCUGUGCCGUACACAUGUGAAGGAUUCCCGCUGUAGGGUUGCAAUACGUUCAUGAUUUGCUUAUAGUGGGUUGCUAGAGUGACAGAAGGUUAAACCCGAGUAAGGGGGUUGUUGCGCAUGUGAUAAAGGGGACUUGAUACAUUAAUGCUAUGGUUGGGUUUUUAUCUUAAUGAAUUUAGUAGUUGCGGAUGCUUGCUAGAGUUCCAAUCAUAAGUGCAUAUGAUGCAAGUUGAGAAAGUAUGUUAGCUUAUGCCUCUCCCUAUAUAAAAUUGCAAUAAUGAUUACCGAUCUUGUUAACAAAUUCCUAGGACAAUUCCGCACACCGAUCCAUCAUUAUUCCACACUUGCUAUUUAUAAUAUAUUGUAAUUGUUCUAACUUUAUGUUAACAACACCUAUUUUUAUAUUUUAGUUCUCCGAUACCAUGCAAAGCUAUCCUAUUCAUACCCACAACAUAGUUUUAUUUCUCGUUUCUAGAUGGAAGCAAACCUUCGGUGUACGUAGAGUCGUAUCAGUGGCAGAUAGGACUUGAGAGAAUAUUGAUCUUACCUUUAGCUCCUUGUGGGUUCGACACUCCAUACGUAUCACUUCCACCUCUGGAAAUUGAUACGAUGGUUCCCUGUACUUGGGGAUUAUCAGCUGCCUCCAGCACUGCCGCCCCUGCAGCCGCAUCAAACCGCCUUGCCGAUCCAAGCCGGUGAUGCUACAGUCGAGCCGCCGCCGUCGUGCCUCGAGCCUGUGACGCUGUGGCCGAGCCCCAGCUAGGCUUAUUCCUGGCCACCGGCCUUCAUCGCCGCCUCUAUAGUCUAGGCCCUGUCUUUGCCGCUGAUCCCGCCUCCAUGGACACCCCGAGCCGCUCCUUCGUCGCGGCCGCGCGAGGCCGCCGCGACCUCGCCUCUUCCACAAACCAUCGACCUCUACCAGCGCCGACCCAGCUCCACCGUAACUCACCUCGCCCCGAGCUGCCCCGAUCCACCGCCUCUCCUCUAUUAUCGUGGCCCGCCUUUGCAACCUUGUCCUCGGGCCACCACCUCCGCCGUGGCCGGCGUCGAGCCAUUGCCUAGAAGCAGCCUUGCCUCGCCGGGCCACCUCUGCAGUAGCCGCUCAGCUCUGUCGUCGCGGUCCCUCGUUAAGCCGCCGCCGCCUUGGCGCUCGCGGCCUCGCCUGCAAGUUGCCGUCCCCCGCAACAACUCACCUCCACCGCUUCGAGCCGCGGCGCUGCCGCGAGCUGCCACCUCAUCGACCCGCCUUGCUAGUUUUAGAACCUCAGUGUGCAAAGGAUGGAAUUGUAACUUGCGUGGGUUUUUGGCCCUCGUCUCAAUAAUGUCACCCUACAGAUUUUUCUUAUGCAUGAAAAAUACAGAGUGAAAAACAUUGUUGUGAUACAACAUGAUUUCCGUGGAUUUCUUAAAGAUAAUAUAGUGGAAGCACCGCUUAAUUGACAUAUUGUCCAAAAUAUCAAUCUUGCUGCUGGUAGUUUCUUCCUAGGAGUUUCUCAUGGUGGGGCAAGUAUUCCAGACAUUGUCAGCGGCAUCCAGGCCACAAGCCUGCCAGGCGCGCCCCUGGGGGGAGGGCGCCCUGAGGGCUUGUGCGCCCCCUCGGCAGUCCUCCAACCCUAAUUCUUGCACUAUAAAUUCCCAAAUAUUACCAAACCACCAGAAGCGUCCACCAAAAUAAUUUUCCGCCGCCGCAAGCCUCUGUUCCCGUGAGAUCUCAUCUUGGGGCAUUUUCCUACACUCUACCAGAUGGGGAUUCGAUCAUGGAGGGCAUCUACAUCAACCUUGCAGCCCUUCCGAUGAAGCAUGAGUAGUUUACCAUAGACCUACGGGUCCAUAGCUAGUAGCUAGAUGGUUCUUGUCUCUCUCUCUCUUUGAUCUUCAACACAAUGUUCCCCUCGAUGUUCUUGGAGUUCAAUACGAUGUAAUAUUCUUUUGCGGUGUGUUUGUCCAGAUCAGAUGAAUUGUGGAUUUAUGAUCAGAUUAUCUAUGAAUAUUAUUUGAGUCUUCUCUGAACUCUUUUAUGCAUGAUUAAAAAUCUUUGUAUUUCUCUUCGAAUUAUUGGUUUGGUUUGCCCAACUAUAUUGGUUCUUCUUGCAAUGGGAGAGGUGCUUAGUUUUGGGUUCAAUCUUGCGGUGUCCUCACCCAGUGACAAAGUAGGGGUAGCAAGGCACGUAUUGUAUUGUUGCCAUCAAGGAUAAAAAGAUGGGGUUUUCAUCAUAUUGCUUGAGUUUAUCCCUCUACAUCAUGUCAUCUUACUUAAGGCAUUACUUCGUUCUUAUGAACUUAAUGCUCUAGAAGCAUGCUGGAUAGCAGUCGAUGUGUAGAGUAAUAGUAGUAGAUGCAGGCAAGAGUCGGUCUACUUGACACGGACGUGAUGCCUAUAUUCAUAAUCAUUGCCUUGGAUAUCAUUAUAACUUGGGGUUUUCUAUCAAUUGCUUGUCAGUAAUUUGUUUACCACCGUAUGUUUUCUUUCAAGAGAGAAGCCUCUGGUGAAACCUAUAGCCCCCGGGUCUAUUUUCCAUAAUAUAUUUUCAGAUCUAUAAACCAAAAAACCCUAAAAUACCUUGUUGCAAUAUAUUUAUAUUUACUUUAGUUUGCUCUUUUAUUUAUCUUUUAUACCUAUCUCUUUUAUCUCACUCUUGCUCGUGACCGUGAAGGGAUUGACAACCCCUUUUUCGCGUUGUGUGCAAGUGUUUGUUAGUUUGUGCAGGUGCAUAGAUUGGAGACUUGCUUGUGCCUCCUACUAGAUUGAUACCUUGGUUCUUAACUGAGGGAAAUGCUUAUCUAUACUUUGCUGCAUCACCCUUUCCUCUUCAAGGGAAAAAUCAACACAAGCCCAAGAAGUAGCAGGAAGAAUUUCUGGCGCCGUUGUCGUGGAGGUUCUACAUCAAGCCUACCAAGUACCCACCAUAAACUCUCAUCUCUUGCAUUAAAUUAUUUGCCAUUUCCCUCUCAUUUUCCUCUCCCCCACUUCAAAAAUGUUUUCAGAAAAACACAAAAAUAUUUUCCUUUUUAGUCGCCCUUCUUGCGUUCGUCUUUUCAUUUGCUCCUGUGCUAGAUUGCUUGCCUUGUCACAAUGUAUCAAGAAAAUACCAAGUUAUGUGACUUUUCCAACACUAAUAAUAAUGAUUUAUUAGUACUCUGAUUGCUCCCGCAACUAGUGCAGAAUCUUACAAAAUUAAUGCCGCUUUGUUGAAUCUAGUUAUGAAAGAGCAAUUUUCCGGCCUUCCUAGUGAAGAUGCCGCAUCCCAUCUAAAUACUUUCGUUGAGUUGUGUGAUAUGGAAAAGAAAAAAGAUGUGGAUAAUGAUAUUGUUAAAUUAAAAGCUAUUUCCGUUCUCUCUACGAGAUGGUGCUAAAACUUGGUUUUCAUCUUUGCCUAAAAAUAGUAUUGAUUCGUGGAAUAAGUGUAAAGAUGCUUUUAUUUCCACGUGUUUUCCUCCCGCAAAGAUCAUCUCCCUUAGGAACGAUAUAAUGAAUUUUAAGCAACUUGAUCAUGAACUUGUUGGACAAUCUUGGGAGGGGAUGAAAUUGAUGAUAAGAAAUUGCCCUACUCAUGGUUUAAGUUUAUGGAUGAUCAUACAAACUUUUUAUGCCAGAUUGAAUUUUGCCUCAGGAAAUAUUUUAGAUGCCGCCAUUUGAGGAAGUUUUGUGGAAAUUACAUUAGGAGAAGCUACUAAACUACUAGAUAAUAUUAUGGCUAAUUACUCUCAAUGCAUACCGAAAGAUCUUCCACUAGUAAAAAAGUGCAUGCAAUUGAAGAAAUUAACACUUUGAGUGGAAAGAUGGAUGAACUUAUGAAAUUGGUUGCUACUAAGAGUGCUCCUAUUGAUCCUAAUGAUAUGCCUUUGUCCAGUUUGAUUGAGAAUAAUAAUGAAUCUAUGGAUGUUAAUUUUGUUGGUAGGAACAAUGUUGGUAAUAAUGGAUAUAGAUGUAAUUUCAACCCUAGGCAGUUUCCCAGUGAUUCCUCUAAUAAUUAUGGUAAUUCCUACAACAAUUCUUAUUGAAAUUAUAAUAAAAUACCCUUUGAUAUUGAGAACAGUAUUAAAUAUUUCAUUUAUUGCCAAAGAUUUUCAAAGCUAUGGUUGAAGAAAAAUUGCUCAAGAUUGAUGAUUUGGCUAGGAACGUUGAUAGAAUUUCGCUUGAGAUUGAUUCUUUGAAAAUUAGAUCUAUGCCACCCAAGCAUGAUAUUAAUGAAUCUUUGAAUGCUAUCAAAAUUUCUAUUGAUGAAUGUAAAGAAAGAACCGGUAGGAUGCGUGCUAAGUGAGAUUGGUUUGUAAAAGCUUGUUCUUCUAGUUUUUGCGCAAAUAAUGAUGAAGAUCUUAAAGUGAUUGGUGUGGGUCCUAUUUAAUCAUUGUUUUGUAACUAAAUCUUGAUAAAGAUGGGACUCAAGAUGAGUCAACUUUAGCUAGAAGGCUUCCCAAUGAUUCAGAGUUUAAAGAACUUAAUGAAAAAAUUGAUAAAAGUGGGAUUGGAGAGGUCAAAACUUUAAGUAGCGAUGAACCCACUAUUUUGGACUUCAAGGAUUUUAAUUAUGAUAAUUGUUCUUUGAUAUAUUGUAUUUCCUUGUUGCAAUCCAUGUUGAAUUCACCUCAUGCUUAUAAUGUGCUUUUACUAAACAUAUCAUUGAUGCUAUGAUGAAAUCUAAUGAAGACAAACUUGAGUUGGAAGUUUCGAUCCCUAGAAAGCUUUAUGAUGAGUGGGAACCUACUAUUAAGAUUAAAAUUAAAGAUUAUGAGUGCAAUGCUUUGUGUGAUUUGGGUGCUAGUGUUUCCACUAUUCUGAUAACUUUAUGUGAUGUGCUAGGUUUCCAUAAACUUGAUGAUUGUUCUUUGAAUUUGCAUCUAGCGGAUCCCACUAUUAAGAAACCUAUGGGAAGGAUUAAUGAUGUUCUCGUUAUUGCAAAUAGGAAUUAUCUGCCCGUAGAUUUUAUUUUGCUUGAUAUAGAUUGCAAUCCUACAUGUCCUAUUAUUGCUGGAAGACCUUUCCUUAGAACAAUUGGUGCAAUUCUUGAUAUGAAAGAACAAAAUGUUAGAUUUGAAUUUCCAUUAAGGAAGGGCAUGGAACACUUUUCCAAGAAUGAAAAUUAAGUUGCCAUAUGAAUCUAUUAUGAGGAAUACUUAUGGAUUUAAUACCAAAGAUGACGAUACCUAGAUCUAUCUUUUAUGACUAGCUCGGGGCGUUAAACAAUAGCGCUUGUCAGGAGGCAACUAAUAUGUUCAUUUUGCAUCAUGUUUACCAAAGAUGACGAUACCUAGAUCUAUCUGUUAUUUACUAUGUUUUUAUGAAUAAUAAUGCUUUUUGGAAUAAUUCUAAUGCCUUUUCUCUCAUAAUAUGCAAGGUUUACACAAAGAGGGAGAAUGUCGGCAGCUGGAAUUCUGGACCUAAAAAAGCCACGUCAGAGUUACCUAUUCUGCACAUCUCCAAAUGAGCUGAAAAUUUACGGAGAAUUGUUUGGAAUAAAAGAAAAAUACCGGAGCAAAUAACUACCGGAGGAGGCCCACCUGGUGGGUGAUGGCUCGUGUCCGCGUCAGUAUUUUCCCCAAAGAGGAAGGGAUAAUGCAGCACAUCUAUGGUAGGUAUUUCCUUGAGUGAUGAGACCAAGAUUAUCGAACCAGUAGGAGAACCAUGCAACACUAUGUAAAUGGUACCUGCACACAAAGAACAAAUACUUGCAACCUGACGUGUAAGAGGGGUUGUCAAUCCUUCCCGGGUAAAAGAUAGAUAAAAUUGUAGUAGAUUGGAUAAGUAGAUCUCGCGUGAACGCGAGAUAAAAUAAAUAAUAAAAAAAUUGCAUAAAGGUAUUUUUGGGUUUUUGGAUUAAUAUAUCUGAAAAUAAAAGAGGCAAAUAAUAGAUCGGAAAGCAAAUAUGAUAAAGAAGAGACCCGGGGGCCAUAGAUUUCACUAGUGGCUUCUCUCAAGAAAAAUAGCAUAUGGUGGGUAAAGAAAUUAAUGUUGGGCAAUUGAUAGAACUUCAAAUAAUUAUGAAAAUAUCCAGGCAAUAAUCAUUAUAUAGGCAUCACGUCCAAGAUUAGUAGACCGACUCCUGCCUGCAUCUACUAAUAUUACUCCACACAUUGCCUGCUAUCCAGCAUGCAUCUAGUGUAUUAAGUUCAUGGAAAAACGGAGUAAUGCAAUAAGAACGAUGACAUGAUGUACACAAGAUCUAUUCAUGUAGGAAUACACCCCAUCUUGUUAUCCUUAAUGGCAACAAUCAAUACGUGUCUUGCUGUCCCUUCUGUCACUGGGAAAGAACAAUGCAUGACCGAACCCAUCACAAAGCACCUCUUCCCAUGGCAAGAAAAAUCAAUCUAGUUGUCCUAACUAAGCCAAAGAUUCGAAGAAAAACUACGAGGCUAUAAUUAAUCAUGCAUAUAAGAGAUCCAAACUCAAAUAACUUUCAUGGAUAAAAUAGAUCUGAUCAUAAACUCAAAGUUCAUCGGAUCCCAACAAACACACCGAAAAAAGUGUCACAUCAAAUAGAUCUCCAAGAGACCAUUGUAUUGAGAAUCAAAAUAGAGAAAGGAAGCCAUGUAGCUACUGACUACGGACCCGUAUGUCUACAAUAAACUACUCACGCAUCAUCGGAGAGGCACCAAUGAGGAUGAUGAACCCCUCCAUGAUGCUGUCUAGAUUGGAUUUGGUGGUUCUGGAACUUGCGGCGGCUGGAAUUGUGUUUUUCGUCGACUCCCCUAGGGUUUUUGGAUUUUCGGGGUAUUUAUAGAGCAAAGAGGCGGUGCAGGAGGCCACCGAGGUGGGCACAACCCACCAGGGCGCGCUUGCACCCCCAGUCGCGCCCAAGUGGGUUGUUCCCCCCUCGGGGCACCCCUGUGGUACUUCGUUGGCCCAACUUGUCCCUUCUGGUCUAGAAAAAAUCUCGAAAAAGUUUUUCUGCGUUUGGACUCCGUUUGGUAUUGAUUUCCUACGAAGUAAAAAAACAAGUAAAAAACAACAACUGGCACUGGGCACUGUGUCAAUAGGUUAGUCCCAAAAAAUGAUAGGUUUGUCCCAAAAAUGAUAUAAAGUUGCUAUAAAAUGAUUGUAAAACAUCCAACAAUGAUAAUAUAACAACAUGGAACAAGCAAAAACUAUAGAUACGUUGGAGAUAUAUCAGUGGGCACAACCCACCUAAGUGCGCGAGGCCCCCAUGCGCACCCUGGUGGGUUCUGCCCUCCUCGGCCCACCUUCGGUGCCCCUCUUCUAGUAUAUAAGUCAUUUUUACCUAGGAAAAAAAUAAGGGGAGGACUUUCGGGAUGGAGCACCGCCGUCUCGAGGUGGAACUCGGGCCGGAGCACUUUUGCCCUCCGGUGGAGCGAUUCUACCGGGGGAACUUUCCUCCCGGAGGGGGAAAUCGUCGUCAUCAGCAUAACCAACAACCCUCUCAUCUUUGGGAGGGUAAUCUCCAUCAACAACUUCAACAAUACCAUCUCCUGUCAAACCCUAGUUCAACUCUUGUGUUCAAUCUUUGUACCGAAACCUCAAAUUGGUACCUCUGUGGGUGACUGAUAGUGUUGAUUACAUCUUGUAGUUGAUUACUAUAUGGUUUAUUUGGUGGAAGAUUAUAUAUCCAGAUCCAUUAUGCUAUUUAAUACCCCUCUGAUUUUGAGCAUGAUUAUCAUUUGUGAUUAGUUACUUUUGUUCUUGAGGUCACGGGAGAUAUCUUGCUGCAAGUAAUCACGUGAACUUGAUAUGUGUUCGAUAUUUUGAUGAUAUGUAUGUUAUGACUCCCUUAGUGGUGUCAUGUGAACGCUGACUACAUGGCACUUCACCAUAUUUGAGCCUAAGGGAAUGCAUUGUGGAGUAAUUAGUAGAUGAUGUGUUGCUAGAGUGAUAGAAGCUUAAACCCUAGUUUAUGCGCUAUUUCAUAAGGGACCGUCUUGGAUCCAAAAGUUUAAUGCUAUGGUUAGUGAUGUCUACUAUGCAACCUUCUUCUUGUAGACUCGUGUUGGGCCUCCAAGCGCAGAGUUUUGUAGGAAAGUAGAAAAUUUCCCUCAGGUGGAUGACCUAAGUUUUAUCAAUCCGUGGGAGGUGUAGGAUGAAGAUGGUCUCACUCAAUCCAUGGGAGAACAUAAGAUGAAAUUGCUUGUAGGGUACGAAACCACCUCAAAGUUAUUCUUUUCGAUCAUUCCGUUGAGCUAUUCCUAUAAGUGUCACAAACAACCCUAGAGUUCGUAGUAAAAUAACACCAUAUGACACACAUCAAUCAACCCUAAUGUCACCUAGAUACUCUAAUGUCACCACAAGUAUUCGUGGGUAAAUUAUAUGAUAUGCAUCAAACAACUGCAGAUUCAUAAUAUUCCAACACAAAGAACCUCAAAGAGUGCCCCAAGAUUUCUAUCGGAGAAAUAAGGAUGAAAAUGUGCAUCAACCCCUAUGCAUAGAUUACCCCAAUGUCACCUCGAUAAUCUGUGAGUUGAGUGCCAUAACAUACAUCAAGUGAAUCAAUAGAAUACCCCAUUGUCACCACGGGUAUCCCACGCAAGACAUACAUCAAGUGUUCUCAAAUCCAUAAUAGUAUUCAAUCCGAUAAUAGUGAAACCUCAAAAGUAAAACUCAAUUCAUCACAAGAAGGUAGAGGGGGGAGAAACAUCAUAUGAUCCAACUAUAGUAGCAAAGCUCGCGGUACAUCAAGAUGGUGCCAAAUCAAGAACAUGAGAUAGAGAGAGAGAGAGAGAAAGAUCAAACAGAUAGCUACUGGUACAUACCCUUAGCCCCGAGGGUGAACUACUCCCUCCUCAUCAUGGAGAGCACCGCGAUGAUGAAGAUGGCCACCGGUGAUGGUUUCCCCCUCUGACAAGGUGCCGGAACAGGCUCCCUAUUGGUUUUUUGUGGCUAUAGAGGCUUGCGGCGGCGGAACUCCCGAUCUAGGUUUAUUUCUGGGGUUUUCUCUAUUUAUAGGAAUUUUUUGGCAUUGGCGGCAAGUCAGGGGGUCCAUGAGGCAACGAUAAGGUAGGGGGCACGCCCUAUGGGGGGGAGCCCUCCACCCUUGUGGAUGUCUCGUGGCUCCCUUGGUCCAUCUCCGAUACUCCGUGGGCUUCUUCUUGUCCAUAAAAAAUCAUCGUAAAGUUUCAGCUCAUUUGGACUUCGUUUGGUAUUCCUUUUCUGUAAAACUCAAAAACAAGGAAAAAACAUAAACUGGCACUGGGCUCUAGGUUAAUAGGUUAUUCCAAAAAAUAAUAUAAAAUAGCAUAUUAAUGCAUAUAAAACAUCCAAGAUUGAUAAUAUAAUAGCAUGGAACAAUAAAAAAAUUAUAGAUACGUUGGAGACGUAUCAAGCAUCCCCAAGCUUAAUUCCUGCUCGUCCUCGAGUAGGUAAAUGAUAAAAACGGAUUUUUUGUUGUUGAAUGCUACAUAACAUAUUUAUAAAUGUAAUGUUCUCUAUUGUGGCAAGAAUAUUCAGAUCCAUAAGAUUCAAAGCAAAAGUUUAAUAUUGACAUAAAAACAAUAAUACUUCAAGAAUACUAAUAAAGCAAUCACGUCUUCUCAAAAUAACUUGGCCAAAGAAAGUAUAGUCUGGCUAUGCUCCAUCUUCAUCACACAAAAUAUUCAAAUCAUGCACAACCCCGAUGACAAGCCAAGCAAUUGUAUCAUACUUUUGAUGCUCCCAAACCUUUUCAACUUUCACACAAUACAUGAGCAUGAGCCAUGGAUAUAACACUAUAUGUGGAAUAGAAUAUGGUGGUUGUGGAGAAUAAAAAAAGAAGGAGAUAGUCUAACAUCAACUAGGCAUAUCAACGGGCUAUGGGGAUGCCCAUCAAUAGAUAUCAAUGUGAGUGAGUAUGUAAUGCCAUGCAACGGGUGCACUAGAGCUAUAAGUUUAUGAAAGCUCAAAAGAAAACUAAGUGGGUGUGCAUCCAACUUGUUGCUCACAAAUACCAAGGGAUAUUUGAGGAAGCCCAUCAUUUGAAUAUACAAGCCAAGUUAUAUAAUGAAAAAUUCCCACUAGUAUAUGAAAAUGACAACAUAGGAGGCUGUUUAUCAUGAAGAUCAUGGUGCUACUUUGAAGCACAAGUGUUGAAAAAGGAUAGUAACAUUGCCCCUUCUCUCUUUUCUCUCAUUUUUUGAUUGUCUUCUUUGGACUCUCCUUUUUUUUUACUUCCUCACAUGGGACAAUGUUCUAAUAAUGAUGAUCAUCACACUUCUAUUUACUUACAACUCAAGAAUUACAACUCGAUACUUAGAACACAAUAUGACUCUAUAUGAAUGCCUCCGGCGGUGUACCAGGAUGUGCAAUGACUCAAGAGUGACAUGUAUGAAAAUUAUGAAUGGUGGCUUUGCUACAAAUACAAUGUCAACUACACGCUCGUGCAAAGCAAUAUGACAAUGAUGAAGCGUGUCAUAAUAAAUGGAACAGUGGAAGUUGCAUGGCAAUAUAUCUCAGAAUGGCUAUGGAAAUGCCAUAAUAGGUAGGUAUGGUGGCUGUUUUGAGGAAGGUAUAUGGUGGGUGUAUGGCACCAGCAAAAGUUGCAUAGUACUAGAGAGGUUAGCAAUGGUGGAAGGGUGAGAGUGCAUAUAAUCCAUGGACUCAACAUUAGUCAUAAAGAACUCACAUACUUAUUGUAGAAAUCUAUUAGUCAUCGAAACAAAGUACUACACACAUGCUCCUAGGGGGACAGAUUGGUAGGAAAAAACCAUCGCUCGUCCUCGACCGCCACUCAUAAGGAAGACAAUAAAUAAAUAAAUCAUGCUCCAACUUAGUUACAUAAUGGUUCACCAUACGUGCAUGCUACGGGAAUCACAAACUUCAACACAAGUAUUUCUACAAUCCACAAUUACUCACUAGCAUGACUCUAAUAUCACCAUCUUUAUAUCUCAAAAUAAUCAUAAGGAAUCAAACUUCUCAUAGUAUUCAAUGCACUUUAUAUGAAAGUUUUUAUUAUAUCCCUCUUGGAUGUCCAUCAUAUUAGAACUAAAUUCAUAACAAAAGCAAAUUACCAUGCUGUUUAAAGACUCUCAAAAUAAUAUAAGUGAAGCAUGGGAGUUCAUGAAUUUCUUCAAAAUAAACCAUCGUCGUGCUCUAAAAAGAUAUAAGUGAAGAACUAGAGCAACUACCCAGGUCAAAAGAUAUAAGUGAAGCAUAUAGGCUAUUCGAAUAAUUUCAUGAUUCAUGCGUGUCCCUGUCAGAAGGUGUGCUCGGCAAGUAUGAUUGUGGCAAACUAAAAAGUAAAGACUCAUAUCAUACAAGACGCUCCAAGAAAAACACAUAUCAUGUGGUGAAUAAAAAUAUAGCCUGAAGUAAAGUUACCUAUAGACAAAGACGAAAGAGGGGAUGCCAUCCGAGGCAUCCCCAAGCUUAGGCUCUUGGUUGUCCUUGAAUAUUACGUCGGUGUGCCUUGGCAUCCCCAAGCUUAGGCUCUUGCCAGUCCUUAUUCCGUAGUCCAUCAAAACUUUACCAAAAACUUGAAAACUUUACAACACAAAACUCAACAGAAAACUCGUGAGAUCCGUUAGUAUAAUAAGGCAAAUCACCACUUAGGUACUGUUAUGAACUCAUUCCAAUUUUAUAUUGGUGUUAUACCUACUGUAUUCCAAUUUCUCCAUGGUUCAUACACUCUGAUACUACCCAAAGAUUCAUCAAAAUAAGUAAACAACACAAUGAAAACAGAAUCAAUCAAAAACAGAUCAGUCUGUAGUAAUCUGGAAACUUCGUAUACUUAUGUAACUCCAAAAAUGCCUAAAAAAUAGGACAAUCUAGGCAAUUUGUAUAUUAAUCAUGUGUCAAAAAUUCAGAUCAAAAGCACGUUCUAGUGAAUCUUGAAAAUUCCUGGACUGAGCACAAAAGUUCCUUUUUUGCACAAAAUCAAGUCAACUAUCAUCCACACUAUCCCAAAAGUCUUACUUGGCUCUUUAUUGAAACAGAAGCUAUAAAACAUGAUUAUUAUAGUAGCAUAAUCACGUGGACACAACAAAAAACAAUAGGGGUAAAUGUUGGGUUGUCUCCCAAAAAGCGCUUUUCUUUAGUGCCUUUCUAGCUAGGCAUGACGAUGUCAAUGAUGCUCACAUAAAAGAUAAGAAUUGAAACACAAUGGGAGCAUCAUGAAGCAUAUGACUAGCACAUUUAUGUCUAACCAUCUUCCUAUGCAUAGGGAUUUUGUGAUCAAACAAUUUAUGGGAACAAGAAUCAACUAGCAAAGGAGGGCAAAACAAGCAUAACUUCAAGAUUUUCUACACAUAGAGAGGAAACUUGAUAUUAUUGCAACUCCUACGAGCAUAUAUUCCUCCCUCAUAAUAAUUUUCAGUAGCAUCAUGAAUUAAUUCAACAAUAUAACCAUCACAUAAAGCAUUCUUUUCACGAUACAUAAUCAUAGAAUUUUUAUUACUUUCCACAUUAGCAAAAUUCCUCUCAUUCGGAAUAGUGGGAGCAAACUCAACAAAAUAACUAUCAUGUGAGUCAUAAUCCAAUUGAAAAUUAAAAUCAAGAUGAAAAUUUUCAUGGUUAUCAUUAUUCUUUAUAGCAUACAGGCAAGGAGUGAAGCGACAAUGAUAAAUGGCUACGAGGUUUUAUUAAAACAUGCGGAUGCAAUGCACAUGAUGCCAUGAUGAAAUGCAACAAGCAAAAAUAAAUCACAUGACAAAACUCAGAAUAGCUGGAAGUCUUAUGGAGAGUCGGUCUUGGGGUGUUACACUCACAUUGGUAUCUAUUGAUGGGCAUCUCCAUAGCCCGUUGAUACGCCUAGUUGAUGUCAGACUAUCUCCUUCGUUUUUUCUUCUCCACAACCACCAUAUUCUGUUCCACCUAUUUGUGCUAUGUCCAUGGCUCACGCUCAUGUAUUGCGUGAAAGUUGAAUUUUUUUGAGAAUACUAAAGUAUGAAAGAAUUGCCUGGCUGAAACUGGGUUGUGCAUGAUUUGAAUUUUUUUGAUGAAGAUGGAGCACAGCGAGACUAUAUGAUUUCGUAGGGAUAAGCUUUCUUUGGCCAUGUUAUUUUAAGAAGACAUAAGUUCCUUGUUAGUAUGCUUGAAGUAUAAUUGUUUUUAUGCCAAUAUUAAACUUUUGUUUUGAAUCUUAUGGAUCUGAACAUUCAUGCCACAAUUUAAAAAAUUAUAUGGAUAAAUAUGUUAGGUAGCAUUGCACAUCAAAAUUUAUGUUUUUAUCAUUUACCUACUCGAGGACGAGCAGGAAUUAAGCUUGGGGAUGCUUGAUACGUCUCCAACGUAUCUAUAAUUUUUGAUUGUUCCAUGCUAUUAUAUUAUCUGUUUUGGAUGUUUUAUAUGCAUUAAUAUGUUAUUUUAUAUUAUUUUUGGGACUAACCUAUUAACCUAGAGGCCAGUGCCAGUUCCUGUUUUUUCCUUGUUUUUGAGUUUCGCAGAAAAGGAAUACCAAACGGAGUCCAAACAGAAUGAAACAUUUGCGAUGAUUUUUCUUGGACCAGAAGACAACCAGGCGACUUAGAGAUGAAGUCGGAGGAGCCACGAGGCUCCCCGUGACCAUCCUGACCUAGUUCUUUCGCCUAUAUAUUCCCAUAUAUCCCCAAACCACCAGAGGCAUCCACAAAAACACUUUUCCACCGCCGUAACCUUCUGUACUCAUGAGAUCCCAUCUAGGGACCUUUUCUAGCACCUUGCUGGAGGGGGAUUCGAUCACGGAGGGCUUCUACAUCAGCAAGGCACGUAUUGUAUUGUUGCCAUCAAGGAUAAAAAGAUGGGGUUUUCAUCAUAUUGCUUGAGUUAAUUCAUCUACAUCAUGUCAUCUUACUUAAUGCGUUACUCCAUUCUUUAUAAACUUAAUACUCUAUAUGCAUGCUGGAUAGCGGUCGAUGUGUGGAGUAAUAGUAGUAGAUGCAGAAUCAUUUCAAUCUACUUGACACAGACGUGAUGCCUAUAUUCAUGAUCAUUGCCUUAGAUAUCGUCAUAACUUUGCGACUUUCUAUCAAUUGCUCGACAGUAAUUUGUUCACCCACCGUAUUAUUUGCUAUCUUCAGAGAAGCCUCUAGUGAAACCUAUGGCCCCAGGGUCUAUUUUCCAUCAUAUAAGUUUCCGAUCUACUAUUUUCCAUCAUAUUAGUUUCCAAUCUACUAUUUUGCAAUCUUUUACUUUUUGAUCUAUAAACCAAAAAUACCAAAAAAAUUACUUUACCGUUUGUCUAUCUCUAUCAGAUCUCACUUUUUCAAGUAACCGUGAAGGGAUUGACAACCCCUUUAUCGCGUUCGGUGCAAGUUGUUUGAUUGUUUGUGCAGGUAUUCGGUAAUUUGUGCGUUGUAUCCUACUGGAUUGUUAUCUUGGUUCUCAAACUGAGGGAAAUACUCAUCUCUACUUUGCUGCAUCACCCUUUCCUCUUCAAGGGAAAAACCAACGCAAGCUCAAGAAGUUGUAGGACCCUCGAGCGCACCUACCAGGCCACAGCGGUUGAGUACUCAGAUGAUGAGGGCGCCAUCCAUCCCCCUGAGGUCAUCCCCAAGAAGAAGAAGCUGCUAGUCCUUAGUGGAUCUCAGGAGGGUGGGGUAUCUGAUGAUCGUGCCUCAGGACCUACGCCCACUGUUGGGGUGCCUUCCUCUCUCGCAUAGGAAGGCGCGCCCGACGCCCCUCUCAGGUUGGGCUUGGGGGCUCUCCUCUGGAGGGCCUCUGACCUAGCCGGCGUCACAAGGGAGGCAUUCGGGCACCGUGUGGAGGCGAGCUUCAACGCGCGCUUCCACGAACAGGGCGCAGGGCGCGAGGCGCCAGACGCUUAGGAGUUCAUUGCCAAGGCAAUUUAGGAGGUUGAGGAGGCGCAAGCCAUGCAUGGCAAGCGUCGCCCCGCACCACCCAGUGCAGCUGCCGCCGUUGACGUGGGUAACGAGCUAUGCGUCUGUGUCAACAUCCUAGGACUCAACAAGGCUGCUUCUUAGGAGCUCUUCUGUCCGUCCUGCGUCGGCCGGUGUCGAGGCCAGCCUCACAACUAUGUCCGCAAGCCUUUUUGUUUGCCGGACACAGCUACCUUGCACCAGUGCCACAUGCAGGGUGUCCUGGCGGCUCACGAGGCCAUACGCGAGGCAAUCCUGACGGAGGAGGUGUCGGACCCUUGCGAGCCCCCCGGACCUCUGGAGCCUCAUGAGGCUAAGGAGCCGGACAACUCAUGAGGAGUGACUUCUCCGGCAUGCAUCUUCAACUACUCCAAUAAUUCUUCAGUGAUGGUGCCAGGUGACUUUUUGGUUUGUUCAACUGAGGGCGCCCCUUGGGCUGCAUUAUACUCAAGCUACUAGGGCCAGUCCCACAGCCGCACCAUUUUGAUUCAUGUAUUCCGGACCAGUAUGCAUGCCUGUGUUAUCAUGGUUACCCAACGUUACCCCUGCCGUCUAGUUAUCUAUGGAUUCGCCCCUCGUGGCCUUUAUGCAUUGCUAACACGCCUGUUGCUCAUCCCGCAACGGGGGCUACUAGCACGGUGCCUGUGCUCGGGUCCGUCCCUGCAGCACUGAUAAAUCCGAGAGACUGAGAUCUGGCUCGCGGCCAACCCUACACACAUCACCUCACCCAUUCCUCAGUGCCUUUGUUUUCUUACGGAAAGAUCACCGGCAGGACAGCAAGCACGGCUAUGUUUUCUUUCUUCGGCUAACUUAAAGGGACCUCCAGAGCCGGGAUCACGAGCGGCCCCACUAGCACCUCGAGUCGCAACCCCUCGCAAGGCAAGCCACUCCCCUUAUCACGCAAAUCGCUUGCAUGUUAGGGGGGGCUGAGCAACAAGCCUCAGGAGCUCCUACGGGCUAUUGAGCCCUCACCCCCAGGCCUUGACCAAGGCAUCACGACCUGGCAUACCAACGGUGGCUGAGACUCACUCGAGGGCCUGUACCCGAGGACGUAGAGCAUCCAGAUGAGCAAGGAAGAAGGGGUCGGCAGGAGUCUUGCCUGGGAGCGCCACCGCCACCAGAACACAGCCAGCCGGCCCACCAACAGCUGUCCUCACAGCGAAAGGAUCACCGUAGGCUCGCCAAGAUAAGUCACCCCAUACAUGCAGUCGUGAGCCUUACGAUCAAUGUUUUGCCUCUCACGAUCUGGUUCAGGCAAGGAUGCUUCCCUUUCAGUCUUUCGGAAGCCGCUUGUGAGCCAAUGGGGACCCCCUGAGCAUCGUGCCUCAGGGGCUCUUACUGGACCUCGGGCCACUCACCUCCUGGCCUUGACCACGGCAUCGCGACCUGGCAUACCAGCGAUGUUUGAAGCCUGCCUAGGGAGUCGGCGUAGAGCACUAAGCUACUGUGAGGAUGAAAGGGAGAACCAUGCUACAACAAGAAGCACAAAUACAACAUUGAUUGGAAAUAAUAAUCAGUAAGGUAAAAGCGCCAUAAUUUUUUACAUACCCCUGUGGGGCCCUACAUGGUUUCCUACAAGAACGAAGCAAAACAAAGAAGGUCUCCCAAGGACCGCACAAUAAACAACGUCGUCCACGACGUCAAGCUGGCACCUGCCCCCACUAGGCUCGGCUGCGGCGACGUGGCGGCUCGUAGCUGUCAUCGUCACUCAAGCCAUGCCCUAAGGAGGCAUUGCUGCUGUCGGAAGAACCUUUGAAAAGGCCAAGGGCAAGUUCACCGCCGGCGGCCUCGUUGCCUCGACCACCUCCCCUGGAGCAGCAUCCUAGGAGCCGACCAUCCUCGCCGAAGACCUUGAAGGAGAGUGUUGAUGCCCCGUCAUACCCGAAGUGAAUGGCGUGACCUCCCUCCAGGUGGCAGGCGCGGACGAUCGCGCCCCUCCUCGAGUCAUGAAGACGUCGCCGGAAUUGACGACCUCGACCUCCGCUUCUGAAGUCUAGCCGCAUCAUCCAUCAUGCUGCAGCCAUAACUCCACAGGCCCCCUCGGUGGUAUCUCCCUUGCAAGGGACCGCGGGAGACGGAUUCAUGUGCGCGGCGGCAUUGCCGCCCACACCACAAAAUUGCGGGUCGUGCCUUUGUCGUCGGUCCGCGAGUGAGGUGGCCGAGCAGCCACCGACUGUUCUCCUCCGUGACCCCGCUCCUCGCGGUGCUGGUCAACGCUCCUACGCGCGGGGUUCUGUGCGUGUGCAUACACGGGGACCGGGAAGCCCGACAAAGGCUGUUCAUGCAAAGGUCGCGUCACCAUGGGCCCCAUGAUGGCAUCAUGAGUGCGAUCAUGCCUCUUCUUCGGCGGAAGCAGCUCAGGUUCCACCUGAGGGCUUUACCCUUUUCCGCAGCAGAAAACCUUCUCACUAGCGCCAUGGGCUCACUGCCAAGACGGUGGGAUGGAAAGGAAGAAGGAGGAGCAAGCAGCGAGAAGACGGAGAUGAGCAGGGGGCACCGCCCCCUCUCUCGUUUAUAGCCGGAGGAAGACCAACCACCGGCCUCUCACGAUCUCAAGUAAUGAUGGUUUUUCUGCAUGCAGCAGGCAGUUGUUAAGUUGGAAGGUUGCCGAGGCAGCAUGGGGAAGUGGAGACGCCCACGUCCCAUCAAGCGCCACAAGUCGACUCGGUCCGCACGCGAUUGGGUCCUGCGACGCUUUGCCCUUGCCCUUUGGCUUCGCCUUGAAGCCAAGUCCGAGCGCGCCUUGGGACCGGGGGCUACUGUCGGUGUUCUGGGAACUAGGGUACCCAGACUUGCCUGCAUGCAGCCCAUGGCGUGACUCCAUUGAUGGCCUGGUACGGCCCAUAUUCAGCAUCGACAAGACAAGACCCUCACAAGGGGCCAAGCCUCACCAGUCGGUUGACGCCAAGACCUCCGGAGGGAGCGGCCUCCUCAGUCUGUCUCCUGACGAGCAGAGAUUCCUAUGCAAGCACCCAUCUCAUGAGGUACGGGUAACGCAAGCCAUGACGACCAAGGCUAGGCGGGCGCUAGCGGGUGUAGAGCAGCAAGUUUCCUUUUCGGUGCUACGGAGGCAAGAGCAGGCGCGAAGUCCGAGGAAUCAGACAAAGAUUUCCAUUCUCAUGCAACAAGACCAAGACCGCCAAGACGGAUGUCAUCGCCGAACCUUAGGGGAGUCCUGGAUUAGGGGGUAUCCUAACAGCCGGACUAUAUACUUUGGCCGGACUAUUGGACCGUGAAGAUACAAGACUCAAGACUUCGUCUCGUGUCCGGAUGGGACUCUCCUUUCCGUGGAAGACAAGCUUGGCGAUCCGGAUAAUAGAUUUCCUUCUUUGUAACUGACUUUGUGUAAACCCUAGCCCCCUCCGGUGUCUAUAUAAGCCAGAGGGUUUAGUCCUUAGAGACACAAUCAUAAUCAUCAUAGGCUAGCUUCUAGGGUUUAGCCUCUACGAUCUCGUGGUAGAUCAACUCUUGUGUUACUCAUAUCAUCAAGAUCAAUCAAGCAGGAAGUAGGGUACGUUGUUGGUGUCAAAACCGGUGGAUCUCGGGUAGGGGGUACCGAUCUGUCCGUCUAAGGCUAAUGGUAACAGGAGGCAAGGGACAUGAUGUUAUACCCAGGUUCGGGCCCUCUUGAUGGAGGUAAAACCCUACUUUCUGCUUGAUUGAUAUUGAUGAUAUGGGUAUUACAAGAGUUGAUCUACCACGAGAUCGUAGAGGCUAAACCCUAGAAGCUAGCUUAUGAUGAUUAUGAUUCUGUCCCUAAGGACUAAACCCUUCGGUUUAUAUAGACACCGGAGAGGGCUAGGGUUUACACAGAGUCGGUUACAAAGAAGGAAAUACAAUAUCCGGAUCGCCAAGCUUGUCUUCCAUGCAAAGGAGAGUCCCAUCCGGACACAGGACGAAGUCUUGAGUCUUGUAUCUUCACGGUCCAACAGUCCGGCCAAAGUAUAUAGUCCAGCUGUCCGAAUACCCCCUAAUCUAGGACUCCCUGAGUAGCCCCUGAACCAGGCUUCAAUGACGAUGAGUCUUGCGCGCAGUUCGUCUUCGGCAUUGCAAGGCGGGUUCCAUCUCCAAAUACUCCAAUGUAAUUACCGAACACUUGAAUCAUGUCCGGAUCCGCAAGAUGAUUUUCACAUACCCCCGUAGAGAGAAUGAUAUUUCACAAAUAUAAUCUACCGACAACUUUAAAUGAAGCGACACGAAAAAAUGAUCAAGUCAUUAUUGAAUCAUCUUUCCACUACCAGCAACCGCUUCGCACAUCCUGUCGAAGCAAAGAUCAUGUCCCCUUAUCACGGCAUUCUCAUCAAUACGGGUUUGGGUAACCCAACUGCGCCAUCAAUCGUGGCGCUUUGGAAAUAAGCGAUUUCCAAUGGGCAAGUGAGGAGACGCACUAUUUUCGUCGCCUCUAUAAAGGGAUAAGGAUUCCUCAUCUUCACCCACGCCUUCUUCCUCCUCUUCUUAUCCACUCCCACACCCUCGAGCUACAGUGCCCUAGUUCAUGCCUCCUUCACACAGCCAAACAAGUCCGGAGCAGGAGGCAAGUGGGUGGCCUCCACCAUGAAGGAGGAGCAUAUUACGAUGCUCCGGGCGGCCGGAUACUUGGCCGCAGAUAUCGCGCACCGGCUACCGAAUGCAGGGCUGAUCAUUCCAACUCCGGGACCCCACGAGGGUCGUGUUUCUCGCCCACUUCGUCCAUGGACUGGGAUUUCCACUUCAUCCCUUCAUCCGCGGGCUCAUGUUUUACUACGGGUUAGACUUCCAUGAUCUAGCCCCAAAUUUCGUCCUCAACAUCUCGGCGUUUAUCGUCGUGUGCGAGGCCUUCCUCCACAUCAAGCCUCACUUCGGCUUGUGGCUGCGAAUCUUCUGCAUGAAGCCGAAGAUUGUGAGCGGCCAGCAAGCGGAGUGCAGAGGCGCCAUGGUGGGCGGGAUGCCCAACAUUACCUGGCUCGAUGGCUCCUUUGCAGAGACCGUAAAGGGGUGGCAAUUGGGGUGGUUCUACAUCACCGAGCCACGCGACGCCAACCGGGCGGCGGCCCCUGAAUUCCAAUCUGAAAUUCCCAUGCGGUUCACCUCCUGGGAAAAGAAGGGCCUGGCCUAGGGCGAACCUGGGGAGCUGACAGGACUUCAGAACAGCAUCAAGAGUAUGAUGGACAAGAAAAUCAAGCUUGUCAACAUGGUCCAGGUCAUGCUCGUCCGCCGCAUUCUUCCGUGCCAAAGGCGGGCAUUUAAUUUGUGGGAGUUUGUUCCGGACGAACACCAGACACUUCGAGAGCUGAUCAAUUGUAAUAUAGCGGGGUUUUUAUGCCCCAAACUAUGGAUGUCGUGUUCUCCACAGGGACUAGGCUACGAUGACUAUGCUCGGCUAAAUCUAGGCAACAUAAUUCGGGUGAUGGAAACAGAAAAACAAACCUAAACUAGCAAUGAAGGCUCCUGAAGAUUAUAGAGAAAGAAAGAAAGAAACUAGCAUAAUGGGGGUUCAGAUUUUACUCAAUGUUUUUUUUGGAAUUAUCGUUUUACUUGAGAAACCAAAAUACACACACAGGAAAUCAUCAUCGAUAGAGAGGAAAUACCAAUAUAUGAUCACAAAUAUGGCUAGUAGUUAUAUAUAAGAAGAAAAGCACAGAACACAAAUAAUGGGACAGGGACAGAAAUGUUUAACACCACAGAAUUAUGUAUAUAUCACACAGGUAUUACAAACUGAGAAUUACUGUGGCAACUACAACACAUAGGGGGUAAACAUACACAUGCACAGGAGUGAACACACAUAUAUGCUGACAGAGCACUAACUACCAAAGCAACAAAAUAUUACAUAUCAGUUAGUUCCCAUAGCAACAAGACAUACACUAUUCUGAACAUAGAAUUUUACAGAUGAAAACUGAACAAUUGACAAGUUGCAAGCUCUUAUAGAAUCUGAAUAUUUCAAGUACUAAACAUCUCAAAUUACAUAAACUUCAGAGAGAACAACAGCAGUAGGAUGAGUGUGAAGGAGCAACAGAGACGCAAGAAAAGAAGCAGCAGCAGAGACGUGGGAGAAGAAGCAGUAGAAAUAGCAGGUUCAGAGAAGGAACUGAAGGCGUUGGAGAAGAAGAUUAAGAGCAGCAGCAGUUCAGCAGGGGAUUCAGAGGAGGAGCAGCAACAACGGGUGCAAGAAGAGAAGAAAGCACGAAGUUGAGGUUCAGAUUGUGAAGAAGAAGAGCAGCAGUAGUUUGAGGCAAGGGGAGAAGAUAGCAGCGGCAGGAGAAGAUAAGAGGAGCAGAGGCAGGGGCGUGGAGAAGGGAAGAGUAGCAGAGAGGGAGAUAGAUGGAUGGCGAUGGAGGAAGUGGUGGUGGCGCUGGAUGGUACAGGAAGUAGUGGCGCUGGAUGGUAGAGGAAGUGGUGGAGUUAAGGAACGGGUGGAGGUGCUGGGCAGCGCUGGUUGGCGCACCGCCGCGCCGGCCUGUGGAGAUGGAUGGAUGGUUGGGUGGCGCACCACUAUGCCGUCCUGUCCGCGGCGGCGGCCGGAGGUGGAGAAGGAGGUUGGGGGAGAGAGAUGUGUGCCAGGCCUGAAGGGGAUCGAAGGAGAUGGCUAGGGAUUUGACCCCUCUCGAUCAGAUCUGCCACUUUGCACUUUUGCCCUCCUUCUGUCUUCUUCCUUCCCAAGU